RNAcentral lists this ribosomal RNA (212 nucleotides) under Bacillus cereus. Its description in RNAcentral is "partial 16S ribosomal RNA". It matches the Rfam family "Bacterial small subunit ribosomal RNA", at positions 1 to 206 of the family's 1533-position model. Lineage: Bacteria; Bacillati; Bacillota; Bacilli; Caryophanales; Bacillaceae. The record is from RNAcentral.
UUUAUUGGAGAGUUUGAUCCUGGCUCAGGAUGAACGCUGGCGGCGUGCCUAAUACAUGCAAGUCGAGCGAAUGGAUUAAGAGCUUGCUCUUAUGAAGUUAGCGGCGGACGGGUGAGUAACACGUGGGUAACCUGCCCAUAAGACUGGGAUAACUCCGGGAAACCGGGGCUAAUACCGGAUAAUAUUUUGAACUGCAUGGUUCGAAAUUGAAA